Molecule: long non-coding RNA, 2045 nt
Organism: Cyprinus carpio carpio
Lineage: Eukaryota; Metazoa; Chordata; Actinopteri; Cypriniformes; Cyprinidae
Source: Ensembl
UGUAAAACCAUGUCCUACAUAGGAGUUUGUUUGACCUGUUAGCCAUCUUCCAUGUUUUAGACCUCUGGCAGAGGUGUCUUUGGGGGACAUUGGUCAGCAGCACAAGAAACGUCACAGAAGUCCUCCAGCAAAAUAGAUGAGGAGGGCCUAGAACUUGCAGUUUGCCAGCAUGGUGUUCUUCUUUGUGCCCUUAAUAUGUUCAGGGGGAGGUUUUUGCUUACCCCUGUACCUCCAGAAAAAAAAUGGCUUGUAAGCCGGUGAAAUUUUUUGCUAUGGAUGUUGCGUGCAAGUACUGGCCUUACCUCCAGAGAGGGAACGAGAGAUGCCCUGAGCUUCAGGAUCUGCUCUCAAUGAAGCCAUUUCUAUCAGUGUUUCAUGCCAAAGCCCACGACUUCAAAUGUGAGGUAAGAAAAUGUGACUUUUCAUGUGAUGUUCUUUCCCUAAACAUAAUAUUGUUGCCACUUAGAUUUAUUAUUUUUUUCUUUUUUUAUUUGAAGGUAAAAUGGAGUGGGGCAUACCAGGAGGGGGCUGGUUUGACUCUUGGGGAGGAGGUGGAGCAAUGCAAUGCCUUCCUCUCGAGGAUUGCUGUUACGACAAAGCACAUGUCAAAAGCAGGACGCACAGACAUGCUCACAGUCAUGGCCAUGUGCUGGAAUCAGCAAAAGUUUAACAACUUGGCUUCAACACUUGCCUGCCGAUAUCAAAAGGCCACAAUAGCUCUGCAAAGACAGUUGCAUAAUUUGGAGGCCAUGAAAACUGAAAUGGCAGUUACAGAUGAUCAACUGGAGGGCUGGAUCACUGAUGUCAAUGAGUGGGCAGAAGCAACAACAUCCCCAAAUGAUGCUGAUGUUGCUGUUGUGGCCAGACGAAUUGAGGAGCUGGUCACCAAGGAGGUCCCAACGUCUUUAUAAAGACAUUGAUGGCUGCAAAGGUCGUGUCCGGAUACGCCAAAAGAUCAGGGAGGAAAAGAAAUGUUUAAUUCUGUGGUGGAUCAAUAUAACACCAUGGUCCCUAAUGCAGAAAACCUGGACUUGGACACCAUACUUUCAGACGACACCCUUUGGCCAUGGCAGCUUCCACAUGGUGAUAUGUACACAAGUCCAUUGACGUGAAAUACGUCUCGAAGUAGCACAAUGUUUUUGUUUUUUUUUAGCAAUGUUUACCCAGAUAAUCAAAGAAAACCUUUAAAUACUAAUCUUAAAAUCAACUGAUUUAUGUAUUCCAGACUCCGUAGGUCUAAGGACAAAGAGAAAGGCAUUUGACACAGUGAUGGCAGUAAGGAGACUUGAGGAGGAGAAGAGGAUUCUCAUUGCUGAGAUGGAAAAACACUGGAAAUCUCUUUGCACCGUGCAGACACUCCAAAGGAGAUGACAUCCCAGCUUUGCAGUGGGACAUCAAGUGAGAUGUGGGGCCUGAGUAAUGAGGGAAUCCAAGGUCUGCAGAGCUUAAUGAUGAAGAACACACAAGCCAUCAACAAAAUACUGAAGUGCAACAUCCAAUUUCCGUACAUGUGUUUACAUCAUUGUUUAGAUAACUCUCAAAAGAUCUUUUUUUCAGUCCAGUAUCAAUGAUUUCUAGAAAAAUACAUUUUGACAUGAGUUUCUUCAUGGUCGAACUCACAUGGCCUUUAGCACAGAUAAGUCUUCUCAAUAAAAUUCUUCUAAGCCCAGUAUACAGUACCUCUAACCUGCAUCUUUGAUUGGUAUGUCUUGCUGUGUUGAUAGAUAUUUGUUGCCAUUGGUCCAGGAGCUGUAUAACCACAUCAUGGAGGUUGGAGGUCUCAUAAACCCAGCAGUUAAAGGGGAUGUGUGUCGCGCAGAAAAAACUAAUGACAAUCUGGAAGCUGUGCUAAAUUGAACAUUUACCCUUAUUGUUAUAACCAUCAAUUCAAUGAUUCAAUUAUAAAAUGAUUUCGUUUUUAAGCUUAACUAUACUUGACUUAUUUUUCUUAUUUUCUGUCACAGAUUGUCCUUAUUUGUGUUAAUUGUAAUCUGUUUUUUUUCCUCUAUGUUUAUGAACUGGGACUGAAUACUCUGUAACCCAAC